This 1045-nucleotide ribosomal RNA is filed under the name Facetotecta sp. RNAcentral describes it as "partial large subunit ribosomal RNA". It matches the Rfam family "Eukaryotic large subunit ribosomal RNA", at positions 354 to 1266 of the family's 3401-position model. Lineage: Eukaryota; Metazoa; Arthropoda; Thecostraca. The record is from RNAcentral.
UGAUGGAAAGUUGAAAAGAACUUUGAAGAGAGGGUUCAAGAGUACGUGAAACCGCCACGGGAAAAAACGGAUGGGACCUCGAAGGUACAGUCGCGGGGAUUCAACCGAUCGAGUCGGGCGGACUCUCGCUGUCGACCGCAAGGCGACACGGGCGUUCGGCUUCGAUUCCGAACGGUGCACUUCCUCGCGGCCGAGCGCUGCGACCGAUCGACCGGCUGUCAAUGGGCCGGGCGGGAGCCUGUCGGACGGACUUGUCCCCCGGCAGACCGCUCGUCUCCGGCAGACCGGACGAUCGUUUCCGAAAGGUAGAGUGCCCGCGCACGGCGCGUCGGUCACGAACUCCGACGGCGGCACUACGCUCUGCAGCGAGUAGAUCGGUGACCCAUCCGACCCGUCUUGAAACACGGACCAAGGAGUCUAACAUGUGCGCAAGUGAUUGGGUGUCGUGAGACCCAAACGCGCAAUGAAAGUGAAGGCCGGGACAGCCCGGUCGAGGGGUGAUCGCGUUGCCUUUCGAGGGAGCGCGCGCAACCCCGGGACGCGCCGCACGCAUCGCCGUGGGCUCGUACCCAGAGCGUACACGUUGGGACCCGAAAGAUGGUGAACUAUGCCUGGCCAGGACGAAGUCAGAGGAAACUCUGAUGGAGGUCCGUAGCGAUUUUGACGUGCAAAUCAAUCGUCCGAGCUGGGUAUAGGGGCGAAAGACUAAUCGAACCAUCUAGUAGCUGGAUCCAUCCGAAGUUUCCCUCAGGAUAGCUGGCGCUCGCANGACCGAGUUUCAUCCGGUAAAGCGAAUGAUUAGAGGCCUUGGGGCCGAAACGANCUCAACCUAUUCUCAAACUUUAAAUGGGUGAGAAGUCGGGCUUGCUCGACUGAAGCACCGACCNUNGAAUCNAGAGUGCCAAGUGGGCCACUUUUGGUAAGCAGAACUGGCGCUGUGGGAUGAACCAAACGCAGAGUUAAGGUGCCCGAGAGAACGCUCAUCAGAUCCCAUGAAAGGUGUUGGUUGCUAUAGACAGCAGGACGGUGGCCAUGGAAGUCGGAA